GACGAACGCUGGCGGCGUGCUUAACACAUGCAAGUCGAACGGAAAGGCCUCUUUCGGGGGGUACUCGAGUGGCGAACGGGUGAGUAACACGUGAGUAACCUGCCCUUGACUUUGGGAUAACUUCAGGAAACUGGGGCUAAUACCGGAUAGGAGCUCCUGCUGCAUGGUGGGGGUUGGAAAGUUUCGGCGGUUGGGGAUGGACUCGCGGCUUAUCAGCUUGUUGGUGGGGUAGUGGCUUACCAAGGCUUUGACGGGUAGCCGGCCUGAGAGGGUGACAGGCCACAUUGGGACUGAGAUACGGCCCAGACUCCUACGGGAGGCAGCAGGGGGGAAGCUUGCACAAUGGGUGGAAGCCUGAUGCAGCAACGCCGUGUGCGGGAUGACGGCCUUCGGGUUGUAAACCGCUUUCGCUCAUGACGAAGCUUUGUGUGACGGUAGUGGGUAAAGAAGCACCGGCUAACUACGUG
This 467-nucleotide ribosomal RNA is filed under the name uncultured bacterium. RNAcentral describes it as "partial 16S ribosomal RNA". It matches the Rfam family "Bacterial small subunit ribosomal RNA", at positions 28 to 507 of the family's 1533-position model. The record is from RNAcentral.